GACGAACGCUGGCGGCGUGCUUAACACAUGCAAGUCGAACGGAAAGGCCCUGCUUGCAUGGUACUCGAGUGGCGAACGGGUGAGUAACACGUGGGUGAUCUGCCCUGCACUUCGGGAUAAGCCUGGGAAACUGGGUCUAAUACCGGAUAGGAGCCAUUUUUAGUGUGAUGGUUGGAAAGUUUUUUCGGUGUAUGAUGAGCUCGCGGCCUAUCAGCUUGUUGGUGGGGUAAUGGCCUACCAAGGCGGCGACGGGUAGCCGGCCUGAGAGGGUGGACGGCCACAUUGGGACUGAGAGAAGGCCCAGACACCGACGGGAGGGAGAAGGGGGGAAGCUUGCAGGAUGGGCGCAAGCCGGAUGCAGCGAGGCCGCGUGGGGGAUGACGGCCUUCGGGUUGUAGACUCAUUUCGCUAGGGACGAAGCUUUUUGUGACGGUACCUAGAGAAGAAGCACCGGCUAACUACGUG
This 465-nucleotide ribosomal RNA is filed under the name uncultured bacterium. Its description in RNAcentral is "partial 16S ribosomal RNA". It matches the Rfam family "Bacterial small subunit ribosomal RNA", at positions 28 to 507 of the family's 1533-position model. The record is from RNAcentral.